GAAGGUGGCAAGCGUUACUCGGAAUUACUAGGCGUAAAGGGGCAGGUAGGUGGUUUGAUAAGUCUGCUGUGAAAGCUCCCGGCUCAACCGGGGAGAGGGCCAGCAGAUACUGUCGAACUUGAGUAUAGGAGAGGUUACUGGAAUUUCCGGUGUAGCGGUGAAAUGCGCAGAGAUCGGAAGGAACACCAAUGGCGAAAGCAAGUAACUGGACUAUUACUGACACUCAGCUGCGAAAGCUAGGGGAGCAAACAGGAUUAGAUACCCUGGUAGUCCUAGCUGUAAACGAUGCACAUUAGACGCAGGUGGUAUCGACCCCUUCUGUGUCGACGCAAACGCAUUAAAUGUGCCGCCUGGGGAGUACGGCCGCAAAGGUUG
This 375-nucleotide ribosomal RNA is filed under the name uncultured organism. RNAcentral's name for it is "partial 16S ribosomal RNA". It matches the Rfam family "Bacterial small subunit ribosomal RNA", at positions 527 to 896 of the family's 1533-position model. The record is from RNAcentral.